AGCUAGUUGGUAGGGUAAAGGCCUACCAAGGCGACGAUCCGUAGCGGGUCUGAGAGGAUGAUCCGCCACACUGGGACUGAGACACGGCCCAGACUCCUACGGGAGGCAGCAGUGGGGAAUUUUGGACAAUGGGCGCAAGCCUGAUCCAGCCAUUCCGCGUGAGUGAAGAAGGCCUUCGGGUUGUAAAGCUCUUUCGGCAGGAACGAAACGGUGGGGGCCAAUACCCCCUGCUAAUGACGGUACCUGAAGAAGCACCGGCUAACUACGUGCCAGCAGCCGCGGUAAUACGUAGGGUGCUAGCGUUAAUCGGAAUUACUGGGCGUAAAGCGUGCGCAGGCGGUUAUGUAAGACAGAUGUGAAAUCCCCGGGCUUAACCUGGGAACUGCGUUUGUGACUGCAUAACUUGAGUGUGGCAGAGGGGGGUGGAAUUCCACGUGUAGCAGUGAAAUGCGUAGAGAUGUGGAGGAACACCGAUGGCGAAGGCAGCCCCCUGGGUCAACACUGACGCUCAUGCACGAAAGCGUGGGUAGCAAACAGGAUUAGAUACCCUGGUAGUCCACGCCCUAAACGAUGCGAACUAGGUGUUGGGGAAGGAGACUUUCUUAGUACCGCAGCUAACGCGUGAAGUUCGCCGCCUGGGGAGUACGGUCGCAAGAUUAAAACUCAAAGGAAUUGACGGGGACCCGCACAAGCGGUGGAUGAUGUGGAUUAAUUCGAUGCGACGCGAAAAACCUUACCUACCCUUGACAUGCCAGGAAUCCCGGAGAGAUUUGGGAGUGCUCGAAGGAGAACCUGGACACAGGUGCUGCAUGGCUGUCGUCAGCUCGUGUCGUGAGAUGUUGGGUUAAGUCCCGCAACGAGCGCAACCCUUGUCAUUAGUUGCCAUCAUUUAGUUGGGCACUCUAAUGAGACUGCCGGUGACAAACCGGAGGAAGGUGGGGAUGACGUCAAGUCCUCAUGGCCCUUAUGGGUAGGGCUUCACACGUCAUACAAUGGUCGGUACAGAGGGUUGCCAAGCCGCGAGGUGGAGCCAAUCCCACAAAGCCGAUCGUAGUCCGGAUCGGAGUCUGCAACUCGACUCCGUGAAGUCGGAAUCGCUAGUAAUCGUGGAUCAGCAUGUCACGGUGAAUACGUUCCCGGGUCUUGUACACACCGCCCGUCACACCAUGGGAGUGGGUUUCACCAGAAGUAGGUAGCCUAACCGCAAGGGGGGCGCUUACCACGGUGGGAUUCAUGACUGGGGUGAAGUCGAAACAAGGUAGCCGUAGGGGAACCUGCGGCUG
RNAcentral lists this ribosomal RNA (1283 nucleotides) under metagenome. Its description in RNAcentral is "bacterial SSU rRNA". It matches the Rfam family "Bacterial small subunit ribosomal RNA", at positions 243 to 1520 of the family's 1533-position model. The record is from RNAcentral.